GUUCAGGGAAAAGGUCAUUGUAAGGUUAAUGCACCCAUAUUUUAAUAUCAAACUAUGACAAAUUUGACUACAGCCUUUCCGUACCCCUGCCAAAAC
Homo sapiens (human) is the source of this 96-nucleotide microRNA precursor. Lineage: Eukaryota; Metazoa; Chordata; Mammalia; Primates; Hominidae. The record is from Ensembl.